RNAcentral lists this ribosomal RNA (378 nucleotides) under uncultured microorganism. Its description in RNAcentral is "bacterial SSU rRNA". It matches the Rfam family "Archaeal small subunit ribosomal RNA", at positions 330 to 706 of the family's 1478-position model. The record is from RNAcentral.
GCGCAGCAGUCGAGAAACCUCCGCAAUGCGGGAAACCGCGACGGGGGGACCCCGAGUGCCGUGGCAACGCCACGGCUUUUCCGGAGUGUAAAAAAGCUCCGGGAAUAAGGGCUGGGCAAGGCCGGUGGCAGCCGCCGCGGUAAUACCGGCGGCCCGAGUGGUGGCCGCUAUUAUUGGGCCUAAAGCGUCCGUAGCCGGGCCCGUAAGUCCCUGGCGAAAUCCCACGGCUCAACCGUGGGGCUUGCUGGGGAUACUGCGGGUCUUGGGACCGGGAGAGGCGGGGGGUACCCCUGGGGUAGGGGUGGAAAUCCGUAUAAUCCCAGGGGGACCGCCAGUGGCGAAGGCGCCCCGCUGGAACGGGUCCGACGGUGAGGGACG